RNAcentral lists this non-coding RNA (26 nucleotides) under Cricetulus griseus (Chinese hamster). The record is from RNAcentral. Lineage: Eukaryota; Metazoa; Chordata; Mammalia; Rodentia; Cricetidae.
UUUGAACAAAUAAACCAGUGGACAGU